Molecule: ribosomal RNA, 460 nt
Filed under: uncultured bacterium
Lineage: Bacteria
Description: partial 16S ribosomal RNA
Rfam family: Bacterial small subunit ribosomal RNA
Source: RNAcentral
CCUACGGGUGGCUGCAGUGAGGAAUAUUGGUCAAUGGACGAGAGUCUGAACCAGCCAAGUAGCGUGAAGGAUGACUGCCCUAUGGGUUGUAAACUUCUUUUAUAUGGGAAUAAAACGUUCCACGUGUGGGAUUUUGUAUGUACCAUAUGAAUAAGGAUCGGCUAACUCCGUGCCAGCAGCCGCGGUAAUACGGAGGGUCCGAGCGUUAUCCGGAUUUAUUGGGUUUAAAGGGAGCGUAGGGGGGUUGUUAAGUCAGUUGUGAAAGUUUGCGGAUCAACCGUAAAAUUGCAGUUGAAACUGGCAGUCUUGAGUACAGUAGAGGUGGGCGGAAUGCGUGGUGUAGCGGUGAAAUGCUUAGAUAUCACGAAGAACUCCGAUUGCGAAGGCAGUUCACUGGACUGCAACUGACACUGAGGCUCGAAAGUGUGGGUAUCAAACAGGAUUAGAUACCCCAGUAGUC